This 492-nucleotide ribosomal RNA is filed under the name uncultured bacterium. Its description in RNAcentral is "partial 16S ribosomal RNA". It matches the Rfam family "Bacterial small subunit ribosomal RNA", at positions 29 to 507 of the family's 1533-position model. The record is from RNAcentral.
AGUGAACGCUGGCGGUAGGCCUAACACAUGCAAGUCGAACGGCAGCACAGUAAGAGCUUGCUCUUACGGGUGGCGAGUGGCGGACGGGUGAGGAAUACAUCGGAAUCUACUUUUUCGUGGGGGAUAACGUAGGGAAACUUACGCUAAUACCGCAUACGACGUACGGGUGAAAGCAGGGGACUUUGGGACCUUGUGCGAUUGAAUGAGCUGAUGUCGGAUUAGCUAGUUGGCGGGGUAAAGGCCCACCAAGGCGACGAUCCGUAGCUGGUCUGAGAGGAUGAUCAGCCACACUGGAACUGAGACACGGUCCAGACUCCUACGGGAGGCAGCAGUGGGGAAUAUUGGACAAUGGGCGCAAGCCUGAUCCAGCCAUACCGCGUGGGUGAAGAAGGCCUUCGGGUUGUAAAGCCCUUUUGUUGGGAAAGAAAAGCAGCAGGUUAAUACCCCGCUGUUCUGACGGUACCCAAAGAAUAAGCACCGGCUAACUUCGUG